AAACUGAGGAUAAUACCGGAUAGGCAAUUAUUCCUGUAAUGGUUUUUUGUUUAAAUGUUUUUUCGCCUAAGGAUGAGUCUGCGGCCGAUUAGGUAGUUGGUUAGGUAAUGGCUUACCAAGCCGUUGAUCGGUACGGGUUGUGAGAGCAAGAGCCCGGAGAUGGAACCUGAGACAAGGUUCCAGGCCCUACGGGGUGCAGCAGGCGCGAAACCUCCGCAAUGUGAGAAAUCGCGACGGGGGGAUCCCAAGUGCCAUUCUUAACGGGAUGGCUUUUCAUUAGUGUAAAGAGCUUUUGGAAUAAGAGCUGGGCAAGACCGGUGCCAGCCGCCGCGGUAACACCGGCAGCUCUAGUGGUAACAAUUUUUAUUGGGCCUAAAGCGUCCGUAGCCGGUUUAAUAAGUCUCUGGUGAAAUCCUGUAGCUUAACUGUGGGAAUUGCUGGAGAUACUAUUAGACUUGAGACCGGGAGAGGUUAGAGGUACUCCCAGGGUAGAGGUGAAAUUCUGUAAUCCUGNGAGGGCCGCCUGUUGCGAAGGCGUCUAACUGGAACGGUUCUGACGGUGAGGGACGAAAGUUAGGGGCGCGAACCGGAU
This 592-nucleotide ribosomal RNA is filed under the name uncultured rumen archaeon. RNAcentral's name for it is "bacterial SSU rRNA". It matches the Rfam family "Archaeal small subunit ribosomal RNA", at positions 137 to 729 of the family's 1478-position model. The record is from RNAcentral.